Molecule: non-coding RNA, 71 nt
Organism: Filobasidium floriforme
Lineage: Eukaryota; Fungi; Basidiomycota; Tremellomycetes; Filobasidiales; Filobasidiaceae
Source: the annotation of a RefSeq genome assembly
GCCUUCCUGGUGUAAUGGUAACACAAGAGUCUCAUAAUCUCUCACUCCCAGUUCGAUUCUGGGGGAGGGCA